This 72-nucleotide transfer RNA is filed under the name Camelus bactrianus (Bactrian camel). It matches the Rfam family "tRNA". From Rfam's summary of the family: Transfer RNA (tRNA) molecules are approximately 80 nucleotides in length. Their secondary structure includes four short double-helical elements and three loops (D, anti-codon, and T loops). Lineage: Eukaryota; Metazoa; Chordata; Mammalia; Artiodactyla; Camelidae. RNAcentral also lists the same sequence under 3 other names. The record is from Rfam by way of RNAcentral.
GUGGGUAUAGCUCAGUGGUAGAGUGCAUGCCUAGCACGCAGGAGGUCCUCAGUUCAAUCCCCAGUACCUCCA